Molecule: ribosomal RNA, 492 nt
Filed under: uncultured bacterium
Lineage: Bacteria
Description: partial 16S ribosomal RNA
Rfam family: Bacterial small subunit ribosomal RNA
Source: RNAcentral
AGUGAACGCUGGCGGUAGACCUAACACAUGCAAGUCGAACGGCAGCACAGUAAGAGCUUGCUCUUACGGGUGGCGAGUGGCGGACGGGUGAGGAAUACAUCGGAAUCUACUUUUUCGUGGGGGAUAACGUAGGGAAACUUACGCUAAUACCGCAUACGACCUACGGGUGAAAGCAGGGGAUCUUCGGACCUUGCGCGAUUGAAUGAGCCGAUGUCGGAUUAGCUAGUUGGCGGGGUAAAGGCCCACCAAGGCGACGAUCCGUAGCUGGUCUGAGAGGAUGAUCAGCCACACUGGAACUGAGACACGGUCCAGACUCCUACGGGAGGCAGCAGUGGGGAAUAUUGGACAAUGGGCGCAAGCCUGAUCCAGCCAUACCGCGUGGGUGAAGAAGGCCUUCGGGUUGUAAAGCCCUUUUGUUGGGAAAGAAAAGCAGCGGGUUAAUACCCCGCUGUUCUGACGGUACCCAAAGAAUAAGCACCGGCUAACUUCGUG